Molecule: ribosomal RNA, 300 nt
Filed under: Triticum aestivum (bread wheat)
Lineage: Eukaryota; Viridiplantae; Streptophyta; Magnoliopsida; Poales; Poaceae
Description: partial small subunit ribosomal RNA
Source: RNAcentral
AUGAAUGAUGAGAGGAAGGUGCAUUGGAUAUCAUGGGAUAAUAUGUGUGCUUCAAAGAGACAAGGAGGGCUUGCUUUUCGUGACCCUGAAUCAUUCAAUCAAGCUCUCUUGGCCAAGAAAGCGCGGAGGAUUUUAACUUUACCUCAUUCUUUGUGUGGUAGGGUGCUCAAAGCACGUUAUUUUGAGGACUUGAUUUUGUCGGCCACUUGUCCAUCUAAUGCUUCCUACACUUUCCGUAGUAUUUUGCAUGGAAGGUACUUAUCGAGGGAAGGUCUAGUGUGGAGAUUUGGUGAUGGAUAA